GCGGGUAUCGUAUAGCGGCUAUUAUGCUACCUUGCCAAGGUAGAGAUGAGGGUUCGACUCCCUCUACCCGCUCCA
RNAcentral lists this transfer RNA (75 nucleotides) under Patescibacteria group bacterium. RNAcentral describes it as "tRNA-Gly". It matches the Rfam family "tRNA". From Rfam's summary of the family: Transfer RNA (tRNA) molecules are approximately 80 nucleotides in length. Their secondary structure includes four short double-helical elements and three loops (D, anti-codon, and T loops). RNAcentral also lists the same sequence under 1 other name. The record is from RNAcentral.